GACGAACCGUGCGAACGUUGUUCGGAAUCGCUGGGCUUAAAGGGCGCGUAGGCGGACCAUCAAGUCCGGGGUGAAAUCCUCCGGCUUAACCGGAGAAUUGCCUGGGAUACUGGUGGUCUUGAGGGAGGUAGGGGCACGCGGAACUUCCGGUGGAGCGGUGAAAUGCGUUGAUAUCGGAAGGAACGCCGGUGGCGAAAGCGGCGUGCUGGCCCUCUUCUGACGCUGAGGCGCGAAAGCCAGGGGAGCGAACGGG
This 253-nucleotide ribosomal RNA is filed under the name uncultured bacterium. RNAcentral describes it as "partial 16S ribosomal RNA". It matches the Rfam family "Bacterial small subunit ribosomal RNA", at positions 524 to 776 of the family's 1533-position model. The record is from RNAcentral.